This 266-nucleotide long non-coding RNA is filed under the name Brassica napus (rape). RNAcentral describes it as "long non-coding RNA (BNAP_LNC019038)". Lineage: Eukaryota; Viridiplantae; Streptophyta; Magnoliopsida; Brassicales; Brassicaceae. The record is from RNAcentral.
AAUUGCCACAUGGAAAAUUUUCUAAAAGCAAUAAAAAAAAUCCGUUUAAAGAAAAUAUUAAAUGCAAAAAAAUAAAAAAAAUAAAACUGUUUCGUUUCUUAAACUAUUUCUGUUUGUUUUUAAUAUAAAAUAAAAAUCUACAUCAAAUAAAAUCCCUUUUAUUUCUCACACUACACCAUCACGAUCUUUGGAACGGUUAAUCUUUCUGAGAUUUUACUCACUAUGGAAUAAAUUCAAAUUUAUCUUUACGUACAUUCAUUGCAGUU